AUGGAAACGUUUCCCUCCUCCCUGAGUAUUUUGCAAGUCCUCCUAGACGAGAGAAGUCUGGGUCCAUGCAAAUCAGGGCUGAGCAUCCUGAAUAUGCAGUUCCUUGGACUGCCACCAAGAGAAAACCUAAGCAGGAGACAUGAUGUCACCUUCGGGAAGGAGACUCUUCGGCUGUCUGGGGUGAGGGGAGGAGUAACGAGGAAGAUCGCUGGCCUCCAACUCCCAAGACCCUGUGAAGAUGACUCCACGCAGGAUAAGGCCACUGUCUGUGAGUCAGAGUCAGGAAAAGAAGAUGGGAAAUCCAACAAGGUGUCUGCUCCCAGUUGGGACAAAAUGCCAUUUGCUUUGAGGGUCCGUGUUUGGCAAAAACCAAGAGUGGUUUCUGCAAAGGAAAAAGAUUGCUGUUGUGGGAUUUUGCUGUGAAUGCUCCUUGCAAAUCAUUUUUCCCCCAAAGCAAAUUCACUGAGAAGCCAAGCGCAGAGCUGCUGGGAAGGCUGUGGGAACUAAGAAUGUUCACACCCCCAGUCAUCUGUGGAAAUGAGAGGGUUUGGGGAGAGUGAUGAGGGAGGACAAGCCAUUAACACUUGGAGAAACAUCAUGCCCAGUUUCCAAGAAUUCAACUCUAGGGCCGACCGGCCAAUCUGCCAGCUGCCAUGCCGCAUCCCAUAUCUGGGUGCAGGUUCAAGUCCCAGAUGAUUUGCUUCUGAUCCAGCUCCCUGCUAAUGCACCUGGAAAAGCAGCAGAAGAUGGCCCAAGUACGUAAGCUCUGCCACCCAUGUGGGUGACCAGAAUGGAGUUCUUGCCUCCUGGCUUUGACUUAGCCCAACCCUGGCUGUUGUAGACACUUGGGGAGUGACCCAAAAGAUGGAAAAUUCUGUGUGUGUGUUUGUGUGGCCCUCCAUCCCUGUUGCUCUGCCUUUUUUUUUUUUUAAUUUGACAGAUAGUGAGGGAGAGAGGCAAAGAGAAAAGUCUUCCUUCCAUUGGUUCACCCCCCAAAUGGCUGCUACGGCUGGCUCUACGCUGAUCCGAAGCCAGGAGCCAGGUGCUUCCUCCUGGUCUCCCAUGCAGGUGCAGGGCCCAAGCACUUGGGCCAUCCUCCACUGCACUCUCAGGCCACAGCAGAGAGCUGGCCUGGAAGAGGAACAACCGGAACAGAAUCCGGCGCCCCAACUGGGACUAGAACCGGGGUGCCGGCGCCACAGGCGGAGGAUUAGCCAAGUGAGCCAUGGCGCCGGCUGUCUAUUAAGGAUUUCUACCGGGCCUGAGAAUUAAAUUGGCAUCCACAUACAGUAUCAGAGUGCCUGGGUUUGAGACCUAGUUCCAUUCCCAAUUCUAACUUCCUAUUAAUGGGACCCCUGGGAGGUAGCAGGUACUCAAGUACUUGGGUCCCUGCCACUACAUGAGAUCCAGGUGGAGUUCUUGGUUCUUGGCUUCAGCCUGGCCUGCUCUCAGCUUUUGUGCGCAUUUGGGGAGUGCACCUCCUUUUCCUCCUCCUCCUAAUAAAUAAGUAAAAAGCAGAGAAAGAAGAAAGAAA
RNAcentral lists this long non-coding RNA (1534 nucleotides) under Oryctolagus cuniculus (rabbit). RNAcentral's name for it is "lncRNA (ENSOCUG00000029983.1)". The record is from RNAcentral. Lineage: Eukaryota; Metazoa; Chordata; Mammalia; Lagomorpha; Leporidae.